UUGAGGAACUGCCAAUUUGUUUCUUGAUUUUCUAACCCAAAACAAUAAUAAAGUUAUAAGCAACAGAAGACCUCCACCUCCAACCAGUCCUCCAAUCAGGGCAUCCCUUUUGGUUGUAUUUCCCGCAUAAUUCAAUUUUUAAUAUAAAUUCAACCUGUCCUCCAAUUUGUUAACAUGGAAGGAGAAGGAGAUAUUAUUGGAUUAAUUGUCUGUAUAUAUUUAUAUUAAAUUCAAACCCUUGGAAGGAAUAGGCGAGCCAUGGUAGAAAGGGAGGAGAGGUGCCUUAAAAGGACUUACUGGUUUUCAAGAAGGGUUUCAGGUCAAUGGUGUAGUUAGCACCAAAGAAGGGGGAGUCUGAGUAUCUUAGGAAACAUCCACUGUCAACUGCCCGACCAUCUGAGUCAGGUGGGCAUCUUUGAAUAUUGGCUAAAGCCACUUUCAAGCAUUCCAUGCACCCUUUCUCGUAGAUUGUUUCCAUGCAUUGCGCCACGCCAUACGCUGUUACAUUGCCAUUUACACCACCCACUUCCUCCCCGCUGGCAGCAAAGAACGAAUCGAUCCUUGGCGUCGCCUUUACAAGAUCCCCUAAUAGCCUUUCCACCGUCGUUCCGAAAACACUCUGUUGUGAUGCUGUGCUGCCACCGCAAAUUCCGAGGUUUCCAACUUGCGUGCUUUCUUGGUAGAACAUGUUGCUCUCGUACCUAGCUCACCAAAAUCAACACAUAACUUCAUCAUUAUAAUCAUAAGAUUAUAAAGAUGGUAUAUAUAUGUGUAUAUAUAUAAGUAAAAGAAAGUAAAAACAUAUAUACCUGAGGAAGCAACCGUCGAAGAUGACACGAGCACCAUUAGCGGCGGAGCAGUUGCGGAUUUGUGAGGAAGCAGUACUGAAGCAAGAGAUGCAGUCGUUUCGAGACAUGUAAUUCCUGCACUGCACCAUGGCAUAAACGGGGUCAAAACCCGUGGCUUCUUGAGCCACUGCGAAAUGCAUGCCCUUGUCUAAGUGCCCUCGGAGCUCCGUUAACGUGGCGUUUAGAUUUCUGGAGAAACCGGAGAAGCUGGUGACGUUGAACAUGCUGCACCCAUGGUUCAGCAGAAAGGUUUGUGGAUUUGAGGCACCCAUUUCCAGCAGGCACCAUAUUACCGUCAAGGAAAUGCAAAUUCGAAGAAGCUCCAUAUCUCUUUAAUCUUUAAUACGACCCUCGAGUUUUGUUUUUUCUUGUUUAAUGUUGUUGCCAAAACAAGAUGAAAGAACGUUUAAUGUCUGGUAUAUAUAUAGUGGAAUUCUGUACAGAAUAGUAUUAUCUGUAUGAAUAAAUAAAUCAAUUCAAAAGAUUUGGAAAUAUUAUACCAGUAUACGACAAGGAAUUAGGGGGAUAGGUUAAUUACAUGAGAUGACUUGAUUAAAAUUUUGAAAGGAUUUAAUGAAUUUUAAAAAAAUCAUAAGUCUAAUUUAAACUGAAAAAUUUUAGAAACUUAAUAAGAAUUUUAGGAAAUUUUGGAAAAUGCUAUUUAAUUUUUUUAAAAUUUUUUAUAAUCAUCAUUUUGGUCGAAACCAUAAUUUUCACUGAGGGUAGCAAUAAUUAUUUCCUUACGGUUUAAUUAAAUUUUUAAAAUUCUAAUAAAAUUUUUAGAAAAUUCUGGAUAAGACUUUUGGCACCGAUGAACACCCGCCCCAGCUGGUUCACAAAGUCUGAAGUCUUUCAUUUGGACUUGCACGACUUCGUAGAAACGAACUUUCGUCUAAAGUUGACAGUUGUCACUUCUCAAUAACUUUUUUGUUUUAAUAUGUCAAAGGUCCUUAUACCUUUUUGAAAUAUAAAAUUUAGUCCUUAUACUUUAAUUUUGAGAAAUUGAGUAGCUAUACAAUUUUUUUACUUAAAAAUCUGGUUAGAUUUGAUUUAUAUAAAAAAGGUAAAAUAACUCUUUUAGCCCUCAUGAUUUAUAAUUUUUUAUUAAUUUGGUCCAAACACUUUAAAUUUUAAAAAAUAUAUGAAAAAUAUAAAAAUUUCCUAAAAUUCAAAAAAGUUGUGUUAUUUACUUCAGAAAUAGUAAUAAGGUCUCUCCAAGUUUUAAGCUAUUCUUUUGGUUCAUAUUACUUAAAUUUGAUAAGGCUUUUUUUAUUUAUUUUAAAUUAGAUUAUGUAACACCCUUACCCGUAUUCGACAUCGAAAUAGGGUACGAGGCAUUACCAGAACACAUACACUUGUAAAUGUAUUGAACCGAGUUAUAAAAAAAUUCAAUAAAUUGUUAAACUUUCAAAUUAUUAACAUGCUUUUAUAAUUCUUCACAAUAUAAAUAAUGCAACAUUUCCUACCAACCACAAUCAAGCUUUCGAUAAUCAUCUCACUGCAUCUAAUAAUUGUACAUAUUACCAAUAAUAAUUCAAUUUCAAUAAUAAAACACAUAUCCAUAUAAUAUUCAUCAUAAAAUAACAUUCACUUUAAUUAAAAUUAUACAGAAUAUAGUUCAUACUAACUUACCAAGUUAAUAUGUAGAAAUACCAAGAUGCAAGGGCAUUUUGGUAAUUUUCCAUUUUUUAAUUUUCUACCCGAUCUUGAUCUAAAUUAAUUUUUCAUUUAAUAAAACAACUCAUUCCAUGCAAUUUGGUCAUUUUUGACAAUUUUUUUCAAAAUUGCCCCUAAAGUUUUACUUUUAUUUAAUUUAGUUCCCGAGCCCAAAUCAUUCAAAUUAACCAUUUGUAACGCAAACCCAUGCUAGCAGAAUAUUCAUAUAUUUAUUUCCCCUCCUCCUCUCCAUUCCACAUCCUUAAUGUAUAUAACACACUUAAACAACAUUAACUAUAAUUUUACUAUUCACCCACAUGUAUAUUCAAAGUUGUUUAUCUGAGUCAGAGUCUCUAAAUUAUUUUUAUCUGGAGCUACAGAGCUCCAAAUUAAGAUCCGUUAAUUUUCCCUAAAACUAGACUCACAUAUCUUCUUACCAUAAACUUUUCAGAAUUUUUGGUUCAGCCAAAUAGUACAGUUUAUUCUUUAAAGUUUCCCCUGUUUUGCUAUCUAACAGUUUCGACCACUCUUCACUAAAAAUGAAUUAUCUAAUUGUACAGAAUUCGGAUGAUAUUUACAUUUGUUUUCUUUGAAAAUAGACUCAUCAAGGAUUCUAAUCAUGUAAAUUAUAACUCAUAAUUAUUUUUCUUCAAUUUUUUUUAUGAUUUUUCAAAUUCAGAACAGGGGAACCCGAAAUCAUUCUCACAUUGUCUCACAAAUUUUAUUAUAUCUCAUAAUUUACAAUUUCAUUACUUACACCGUUUCUUCUAUAAGAAACUAGACUCAAUAAGCUUUAAUUUCAUAUUUUAUUCAUCCUCUAAUUCGAUUUACACAAUUUAUGGUGAUUUUUCAAAGUUAGACCACUGCUGCUGCCCAAAACUGUUUUAGUGUAAAUAUUGAUUACCAAUUUGACCCUAAACUUUUAGUACAUAACAAUUUCGUCCCUAGGCUCAGUAAAUGAAAUUCUUGCAAUAUAAUUCUUGUUUCAAGACUAAUAGUUCUCACACAUAUCAGUAACAGCCCAUGGAUUCCAUGAAAUUUCAGAAGUUUUCCUCAAUUUCAAUACUUUCAAUUUAAUUCCUAAAACAUGUUUUCAUCCAUAAUUCUUUAAUAAAACACCAUUAAACAUUCAUUAACAUAUCAAUUUCAUCAUAAAAUAACAAAAAUCAUAUGAACUUAUCAUUGGUAUCUUCCAAAACUUUCAACAAAAUGAGGAACUAAUAGAAUACUAAGUUGGACCUAAUUGUAAAAGUGUAAACAUCUCAAAAUUUCAAGGAAAAAAUAAGAAUUAAACUUACUUGAAGCCAAAAUAUGGAGGAACAGCUCUAACCCCCUUUCAUGGCUGUUUCCACUGAAAUUUCAAGAAGAAAUGGUCUUGAAAUCCUUCAAAUAAAGUUUGGCCACAUAAAUUUUUUUGUAAUUCCAAUUUUGUCCUUAAAUACAUAAAAAUCUUUGAUUUUUUCAACUGUAUGCCGCCUCAGCCACUUAAAUUGGUCCAUUUACUCUUUUAGUCCUUCCUUAUUUAAUUGUUAAACCAUUUAACCACUUUAGCAAGUUUUGCAUCUUUCCAAUUUAGUCAUUUUUAAUUAAUUGACUGCCGAAAUGUUAAAAUUUUCUAACGAAACUUUAACACUACCAUAUUAACACUCCAUAAAUAUUUAUAAAAUAUUUACAGCUCGGUUUAUAACAUCAAGGUCUCGAUACCUCUUUUCCUCAAUUUCUUGACUUGAUAAAUUUUUAUAAAACACAAAUUACUAAUUUAAAAACUCUUAAAAAUCAUAUUUGGCUCGUAAUUAUUAAUAACAAAAUUUACUAGCUUAUUUUCUGAAUUUGGUGAUCUCGUACCACUGUUUUCGACAUUUCUAAAAAUCGGACUAUUACAGAUUAAUUGUAUAUAAAAAUAUUUUUAUGUAAAUUUAAUUAUAAAGUGUAUAAAAUAUUAAUAUAAAAUAAUUUUUAAAUAACGAUACAAAUUCUGAAUCCAUUCAAAUUAAACUUAAAUAUAAUUUUUUUUUUCAAAAUACACCAUAUAUUAAAGGAAUUUUAUAUAAAAAAUGGACACAUUUUGGUAAAGUACAAAAGUUACAAAUUAAGUCUUGAAAUUUUAUACAGUGUAUUUUAAACAACAAAAUGUAAAUAUUUAAAUUUAAUUCACAUCAAGUUUGUAUAAUUAUUUAAUUCAAAUCAUUUAUAUAAAAAUAUAUUUUUGUUUAAAUCAGGACCUAAUUUAUUUAUUUAUUUAUUUAUUUAAAAAUAGUGCUUUUUAUUUUUAAAUUUUUUUAAUUUUUUAUAAUUUUUAUUGAAAAUAUGAAAAGACAUUUAAUUUUAAAACUUCCUUUUUUUUUGGUAAUUGUUUAUGUAUUUUGGAAUAGUUUGAAUUAAAUUGAUAAAAAAAAUUGUAAAUCAUGAGGAUUAAAAGAAUUAUUUUAUUUUUUACAAUAACCUUAUCAUCAAUUCUAAUGAUAAAAUUGACGAAAAGACCAAUAUUUAAUUUGUUAUUAGUUCGAUUAUGCAUCAUAAAGGUUGAUUAUGAUGUAAUUUUUUAAAAAUGGAGUUUGCGCGUGUGUGUGUUUUUACUUUAUUCGCUAAAUGCAAUUUUCUUAAGGCAUUUGCUUUGUUGAUUAUUAUUUUAUGUGCUGAUUGUGAAAAAAAAAAUCAGGAGUAAAGUUAUAAUCUUAUCAUACAAAUUCCAUUCCCAUCUCUAACAUUUUAUAAAGAAAUUUAUAAUCAUGUCACGUCAUUUGCCGGGACUUCUCAUUUGAACUUUAGGUACUAGUCUAUGUGUAAACCUAACGGUCGUGCCUCACCUGUCAGCUGCACUCUGCACACUUCUCUUCACAUCCUCCCUAUUUAUCAUAUCUACCCUUAAAACUUUCAAUUUCCAACAGCGGAAAACACUCCCCGAUUUGUAUUUAGUUGUUUUUAUUAAAAUCAUAAUAAUAGUGACCCAAAUUUGAUAUUUUAACUUAUUAAUUUCAGAAAAAGCUCGAGAUUAAUACUAAUAGACAGCAUGAUGAGCUUUAACUAUGAGCCAUAGUUUGGCACAGUCAAUUCACGUUUAUAUAAAGCAUUUAUAAAUUAUAAGAAUGAUUUUUUUCUCAAUGUAUUUGCUUUUCAAUGUUAACUUUCUUCCUAAAACUAUAUAUAUAGCUGGGAUACUAUCACGGUUAUAAAGGUACUUAAAAAUAGGUUAAGUUUGGUCUAUGAUACUAACAUAUUUUAUUUUUGUUCAAGUUUGGCCCAAUUCAAAAUAUAAAUCUCAAAUUAUGUUCAAAAUUGUCAAUAUAAAUUAUUAGCAAGUUCAUUUUAAACCCAGAUGUUAUUAAAUUUUAUAUUAUUUUUAAUUUUUAAUUUAUUAAUUUUUUAUUAAGAUUUAAUUUUAUUAAUUUUAUUUUAUAUAAAUUACAUUAUAUAUAUAUAUAUUCAAAAUAGAAAACAGAUCAACUUUCAAAAAUAAAAUAAAAAAUAGGUAGCUCAUAUUUUUGCUCAAACUUAUUUUCUGAACCUCAUAUUUUUAUCCAAACUCUCCUGUAAUUUAAGUGGAUUUCGAGUUUUGAUUAAAUAGCUCAAUCCUUAAACAAGUCUAUAAAAACACCUAUCACAUUAUAAAUUAAAAUAUAUAUUGUGACAAAUAUUCAAUUAGUGAAAAGAAAAACCCAAUUUAAAUAUAAAAGCACAGAUAAUUCAACAUUUAAUUACCACUUUAACAAAUUCAACGAACAUGAGAAGUAAAAAGAAAAAAAAUUUAUACUAUUAAUAUAAGCCAUGUUUAUUUUCAUACACUUAUAAAUUCAAUAUAUAAUUUAAAUUUAAAUUUAUUUAUUUGGAGAGAUUGAUUUUGAAUAUUUAAAUAACGUAAAUGGUCAUUUGCAAUGUUUUGUUUAAAGGUUUGCACGCGGUAAAGAUUAUCUUAGUUUUCAGCUUGUUUCCGAAUUUUCAAGAGCUUGACAUUUGAUGCAGAAUCAAAUGAAAAAAAAUAUUAAAUUCUAAGUAAUUAAAAGUAAUAAAUUUUUAUAAAAAAAAUAGAAAAUUGGUGGAAACGUCUUUAAAAUAUUAAUGAAAUGAUACAGGUUGCAGAAAAGAAAUUAUUAAUGUUUGAAUAUUAAAAUCUAAGUAGAUGUAAUAGCCCGAUUUCGGGUCUCGUCGGAACAGUGGUUUCGGGACCACAAAUCCGACGAGAAAAAAUAAAAUGGCCUGAAUUUUCAGGGGUGUCAAAACGGUGAUUCGAGAUCAUUAAAACCGACAAAUGAGUAGAAAAUAUUAUUAAUUUAGUGAGUAUAAGUUAAAUGUGAAGUUAAGAAAAUUUUUGAACAAAAAGGACUAAAUUGUAACAAAUGCAAAAUUAUGGGAAAUGAUUAAAUAGCUUAAAUGAUAAAAGUAAGAGGGCUUAAAAGAUAAAUAGACCCAAUGUCUAUUUGGGCUGGACGGCAAAGGCGUGAAAUCAGCAAGAAAGUAAGGAGAAUUAAGGGCAAAAUUGGAAUAUUGCAAAUUUACUUAAUAAAGCUAGGAUCCAAGUGGAAUUAUCCAGAUUUCUCUUUAUUUUUCUCCAUUCUCAUCAUCAAAAACACCAUAGAAGGGUUUCCUUAAGCUGGUUUUUCAUAUUUUUACUGCAAGUAAGUUCAAUUCUUGAUUAUUUCUUGAACUUUUUGUGUUUUUGUGACAUUUAGAACUAGGCCCACUUGUUGAAUUCAUUAGUUUUUGAUUCUAUGAAAGAAGUUGAAAGUUGCUAUGAAUAUGUGUUGGUAGUAUAUGAUGAUUUAGCAUGUAAUUAGAGCUUUAAAUUGUUUAUAUGCUGAUUUUAUUGAAAGAAUUGAAUAGAAAGUGAAUGUUUGGGACCUAAUAGUAAAACAAGUUAGGGUUUUAUGAGGAAAUUCUGAAUUUCAAUAAUUAUGAAUAGCUUAUAAUGUGUAGGUAAAGUACUAAUUGAGAAAAAUUAGCUUAAUUGAGGGGUUAAUUGAGAAGGGACUAGAUUGUAUGAAAUGUGAAAUUUGGGGCAAACUAGAAAUCAACAUUUUACACUAAAACAGUUUUGGACGGCAGCAGUAGUUUAACUUUGAAAAAUCACCAAAAAUUAUGGGAAUCGAAUUAGAGAAUGAAUAAAAUAUUAAAUUAAAUCUUAUUGAGCCUAGUUUCUCAUAGAAGAAACGGUGUAAGUAAUAGAAUUGUAAAUUAUGAGAUAUAAUAAAUUUUGUGAGACAAGGUCAGAGUGAUUUCGGGUUCCCCUGUUCUGAAUUUGGAAAAUCAUAAAAAAUUGAAGAAAAAUAAUUAAGAGCUUAAAUUUAUAUAUUUAAAAUCCUAAAUGAGUCUAUUUUAAAGAGAAAUAAACGGAAACAUCAUCCGAAUCCCGUACAAGGAGAUAAUUAAUUUUAAGUGAAGAAGGGUCAGAACUAUCUAGCAGUGAAACAUGGGAGAUUUUAAAGAAUAAACUGUACUUAUUAGCUAAGACAAAAAUUCUGAAAAUUUAUGGUAAGAAAAUAUGUAAGUCUGGUUUCAGAUAAAAUUAACGGAUCUUAAUUUGGAGUUUCGUAACUCAAGAUAUAAAUAAUUUAGUGACUCUGACUCGGAUAGACAGAUUUGAAUUUAAUUAUAAGUAAAUAGUGAAAAUAUAGUGAAUUUACUUGUGUAUAAAUCGGUCAUAUAUUCGAUCAUAAUCGAUAAAUGUUGAAUUAGAAAUGAUGUAAUGUUUUAUUUCAAAUAGUUACUAUGAGAUUGAUGAUAAUCUGAUUUUAGCUAAAUUAAAAGCUAAAGCUAUGUUUUCAUUGCAAAAUUAAGAAUUUCAUAAAUAUGUUAAUGAAUGGCAUAAUCGAUAAACGUUGAGUUAAAUGGUAAAUAGUAUUAGUAUUGAACUUAAUGAUAUUGAAUUUUAUGAGAAGUAAAUGGAAAUUUCUAUUGCUAGUGAUAUGAUUUGAAUUAAAAGAAUUAUUGUGAUAUUGAAAUGUAUAUUGGAUUGAGAAAUUGAUUUAAAUUGUAAACAUAAGAAAUUAUGAAUUGAAUGAAAUGGAAAUGAAGCAUUGAAUUGUUAAGACUUGUGAAUUGCAUGAAUAUAAAUCGGGUCUCGUAGGCCCUAUUUAUUAUGAAUAUAAUAUUUAAAGGAUAUAUUGUGAAGAGUUAUAAAAGCAUGUCAAAAAAAUUGAAAGUUUUAAUUUUGAUGAAAUUUUAUAAUACGGUUAAAUACAUUUACAAAUGUAUGUGUUCUGGUAAUGCCUCGCACUCUAUUCCGGCGACGGAUACGGGUAAGAAGUGUUACAUUAGAAGUAAAAAGAAAAAAAUAAAACCAAUGAAAAUGAGAAAAGAAAUUAUGGUUUGAGUGAUACAGAUAAUAAUGACAUAGAAAUUUGAGAAAAUCAACGACCAGAGACCUGGGAGAUAGAAUUGGUAGCAUUAGAUGAAGAAGUGGAAGUGGAUCUGUUAUCUUGGGGAAUAAUAUCAACCCUUCUGUCAGAUUCAAUGAAGGCAGGUCGAGUGGGCUGUCUUGGCUCUAAGGAGCUCACUGUUCUAAGCAUAGUAACCACCUCUGACAUUGUAGGCCUCAAAGAAGCUGAUGAUUGAGUGCAUAAGAAUGCUAUUUCGAUCAUUCUUUGCAUUUCGUCUAUAUCAUAUUCUUCCGGAUCUAAGCUUCUGUCUACUAUUUCCAUUGCCAUAUUAUCUUGGUACAGUCCCCAUGCCUACAUGUAUAUAUAUCACCAAAAAGAAAAGAAAAAAACACACAUAGGAAUUAGCAGUAAUAUAUGUAUCAACUCAGAUUAGGAAAUUAAAGUACCCGUUUUAGAAGGAACUCAGCGGUAGGAUCAAGAGAGGUUUCGUUGUUCUUUAGGCCACUGAUGAUUUCAAGGACAACCACCCCAAAGCUAUAUGUAUCAACUUUCACUGACAAUUGCCCAUGGAUUGCAUAUUCUGGUGCUGUAUAUCCACUGUCCCAUCCAACUUAUUUCAUUAUUAACCAUAUAUAUGCAUGCUAAUUACCUAAAUUUACUACCCAAACGCCAAAAGCCUAGAAAUUUGGGAUGGGAAACUUACAAAGUGCCAGCAAAUUUGGUGCUAAGAUGAGUCUGAUCCUCAGGUAAGAGCCUGACCAAUCCAAAAUCUGCUAUCUUAGGCUGAAAAUCUCUGUCCAAAAGUAUAUUGCUAGGUUUGAUGUCCCUAUGGAUGAUACAUACAUGAAACUCCUCGUGUAAAUAGGCUAGUCCCUUUGCUGUGCCUACUAUUAUGUCAAAUCUCUGUUUCCAGUUCAGAGAUCCAUGCCCUUCACCUGUUCGACAAAAUAAAACAAACAUAAAAUUGCUUUCAAGAUCAUUAAUUUUACGACAAUCAAGAUUCAAUUUCUGACAAUUAAUUACCAAAUAAGUGCUUAUCAAGGCUGCCAUUAGGCAUGAACUCAUAGACAAGGAGAAGCUCAGGGCCUUUACUACAGCAGCCAACAAGGCGAACCAGAUUCCGAUGAUGAACAUUGCUUAUAAGCUUCACUUCUGUAUCGAAUUCUGCUUUUACCUUUUCUGAUUUGCUUAUGGCUAGUUUCUUCACUGCUACCACCCUUCCAUUCUUCAAUAUACCCUAUAUUUAUAUAUUAAAAUUCCAACCGCCCACAAAUUUAUCAAUUUUCUUUUACAAUAAUAUAAAAGUAAUUUCAUUAUUGUUGAGUAAAUUGCAAGGUUAAAAAUAUUCACCUUGUAUACUUCACCAAAACCACCUUCUCCUAAUUUAUUUUGUUGACUAAAAUUUGUCGUUGCAAAAUUCAAUUCUUUGUAAGUGUAAGUCAACGGACCUUGUAACUCAGGUGGCGCCUCUACAUCCUCUGCAAUGUUUUUUUUUUUCUUUUUAAAUGGGCACAUAAUUAUGAUUUUAUUUAUUUUAACCCACAAAUAUAGAAUUAAUAUAAUAUGUUACCUUGAGGAACUGCCAUAUUGUUUCUUGAUUUUCUAACCCAAAACAAUAAUAAAGUUAUAAGCAACAGAAGACCUCCACCUCCAACCAGUCCUCCAAUCAGAGCAUCCCUUUUAGUUGUAUUUCCUGCAUGAUUCAAUUUUUAAUAUAAAUUCAACCUGUCCUCCAAUUUGUUAACAUGGAAGGAGAAGGAGAUAUUAUUGGAUUAAUUGAUCUGUAUAUAUUUAUAUUAAAUUCAAACCCUUGGAAGGAAUAGGCGAGCCAUAGUAGAAAGGGAGGAGAGGUGCCUUAAAAGGACUUACUGGUUUUCAAGAAGGGUUUCAGGUCAAUGGUGUAGUUAGCACCAAAGAAGGGGGAGUCUGAGUAUCUUAGGAAACAUCCAGUGUCAACUGCCCGACCAUCUGAGUCAGGUGGGCAUCUUUGAAUAUUGGCUAAAGCCACUUUCAAGCAUUCCAUGCACCCUUUCUCGUCGAUGGUUUCCAUGCAUUGCGCCACGCCAUACGCUGUUACAUUGCCAUUUACACCACCCACUUCCUCCCUGCUGGCAGCAAAGAACGAAUCGAUCCUUGGCGUCGCCUUUACAAGAUCCCCUAAUAGCCUUUCCACCGUCGUUCCGAAAACAUUCUGUUGUGAUGCUGUGCUGCCACCGCAAAUUCCGAGGUUUCCAACUUGCGUGCUUUCUUGGUAGAACAUGUUGCUCUCGUACCUAGCUCACCAAAAUCAACACAUAACUUCAUCAUUAUAAUCAUAAAGAUGCUAUAUAUAUGUGUAUAUAUUUAAGUAAAAGAAAGUAAAUAUAUAUAUACCUGAGGAAGCAACCGUCGAAGAUGACACGAGCACCAUUAGCGGCGGAGCAGUUGCGGAUUUGUGAGGAAGCAGUACUGAAGCAAGAGAUGCAGUCGUUUCGAGACAUGUAAUUCCUGCACUGCACCAUGGCAUAAACGGGGUCAGAACCCGUGGCUUCCUGAGCCACUGCGAAAUGCAUGCCCUUGUCUAACUGCCCUCGGAGCUCCGUUAACGUGGCGUUUAGAUUUCUGGAGAAACCGGAGAAGCUGGUGACGUUGAACAUGCUGCACCCAUGGUUCAGCAGAAAGGUUUGUGGAUUUGAGGCACCCAUUUCCAGCAGGCACCAUAUUACCGUCAAGGAAAUGCAAAUUCGAAGAAGCUCCAUAUCUCUUUAAUCUUUAAUACGACCCUCGAGUUUUGUUUUUUCUUGUUUAAUGUUGUUGCCAAAACAAGAUGAAAGAACGUUUAAUGUCUGGUAUAUAUAUAGUGGAAUUCUGUACAGAAUAGUAUUAUCUGUAUGAAUAAAUAAAUCAAUUCAAAAGAUUUGGAAAUAUUAUACCAGUAUACGACAAGGAAUUAGGGGGAUAGGUUAAUUACAUGAGAUGACUUGAUUAAAAUUUUGAAAGGAUUUAAUGAAUUUUAAAAAAAUCAUAAGUCUAAUUUAAACUGAAAAAUUUUAGAAACUUAAUAAGAAUUUUAGGAAAUUUUGGAAAAUGCUAUUUAAUUUUUUUAAAAUUUUUUAUAAUCAUCAUUUUGGUCGAAACCAUAAUUUUCACUGAGGGUAGCAAUAAUUAUUUCCUUACGGUUUAAUUAAAUUUUUAAAAUUCUAAUAAAAUUUUUAGAAAAUUCUGGAUAAGACUUUUGGCACCGAUGAACACCCGCCCCAGCUGGUUCACAAAGUCUGAAGUCUUUCAUUUGGACUUGCACGACUUCGUAGAAACGAACUUUCGUCUAAAGUUGACAGUUGUCACUUCUCAAUAACUUUUUUGUUUUAAUAUGUCAAAGGUCCUUAUACCUUUUUGAAAUAUAAAAUUUAGUCCUUAUACUUUAAUUUUGAGAAAUUGAGUAGCUAUACAAUUUUUUUACUUAAAAAUCUGGUUAGAUUUGAUUUAUAUAAAAAAGGUAAAAUAACUCUUUUAGCCCUCAUGAUUUAUAAUUUUUUAUUAAUUUGGUCCAAACACUUUAAAUUUUAAAAAAUAUAUGAAAAAUAUAAAAAUUUCCUAAAAUUCAAAAAAGUUGUGUUAUUUACUUCAGAAAUAGUAAUAAGGUCUCUCCAAGUUUUAAGCUAUUCUUUUGGUUCAUAUUACUUAAAUUUGAUAAGGCUUUUUUUAUUUAUUUUAAAUUAGAUUAUGUAACACCCUUACCCGUAUUCGACAUCGAAAUAGGGUACGAGGCAUUACCAGAACACAUACACUUGUAAAUGUAUUGAACCGAGUUAUAAAAAAAUUCAAUAAAUUGUUAAACUUUCAAAUUAUUAACAUGCUUUUAUAAUUCUUCACAAUAUAAAUAAUGCAACAUUUCCUACCAACCACAAUCAAGCUUUCGAUAAUCAUCUCACUGCAUCUAAUAAUUGUACAUAUUACCAAUAAUAAUUCAAUUUCAAUAAUAAAACACAUAUCCAUAUAAUAUUCAUCAUAAAAUAACAUUCACUUUAAUUAAAAUUAUACAGAAUAUAGUUCAUACUAACUUACCAAGUUAAUAUGUAGAAAUACCAAGAUGCAAGGGCAUUUUGGUAAUUUUCCAUUUUUUAAUUUUCUACCCGAUCUUGAUCUAAAUUAAUUUUUCAUUUAAUAAAACAACUCAUUCCAUGCAAUUUGGUCAUUUUUGACAAUUUUUUUCAAAAUUGCCCCUAAAGUUUUACUUUUAUUUAAUUUAGUUCCCGAGCCCAAAUCAUUCAAAUUAACCAUUUGUAACGCAAACCCAUGCUAGCAGAAUAUUCAUAUAUUUAUUUCCCCUCCUCCUCUCCAUUCCACAUCCUUAAUGUAUAUAACACACUUAAACAACAUUAACUAUAAUUUUACUAUUCACCCACAUGUAUAUUCAAAGUUGUUUAUCUGAGUCAGAGUCUCUAAAUUAUUUUUAUCUGGAGCUACAGAGCUCCAAAUUAAGAUCCGUUAAUUUUCCCUAAAACUAGACUCACAUAUCUUCUUACCAUAAACUUUUCAGAAUUUUUGGUUCAGCCAAAUAGUACAGUUUAUUCUUUAAAGUUUCCCCUGUUUUGCUAUCUAACAGUUUCGACCACUCUUCACUAAAAAUGAAUUAUCUAAUUGUACAGAAUUCGGAUGAUAUUUACAUUUGUUUUCUUUGAAAAUAGACUCAUCAAGGAUUCUAAUCAUGUAAAUUAUAACUCAUAAUUAUUUUUCUUCAAUUUUUUUUAUGAUUUUUCAAAUUCAGAACAGGGGAACCCGAAAUCAUUCUCACAUUGUCUCACAAAUUUUAUUAUAUCUCAUAAUUUACAAUUUCAUUACUUACACCGUUUCUUCUAUAAGAAACUAGACUCAAUAAGCUUUAAUUUCAUAUUUUAUUCAUCCUCUAAUUCGAUUUACACAAUUUAUGGUGAUUUUUCAAAGUUAGACCACUGCUGCUGCCCAAAACUGUUUUAGUGUAAAUAUUGAUUACCAAUUUGACCCUAAACUUUUAGUACAUAACAAUUUCGUCCCUAGGCUCAGUAAAUGAAAUUCUUGCAAUAUAAUUCUUGUUUCAAGACUAAUAGUUCUCACACAUAUCAGUAACAGCCCAUGGAUUCCAUGAAAUUUCAGAAGUUUUCCUCAAUUUCAAUACUUUCAAUUUAAUUCCUAAAACAUGUUUUCAUCCAUAAUUCUUUAAUAAAACACCAUUAAACAUUCAUUAACAUAUCAAUUUCAUCAUAAAAUAACAAAAAUCAUAUGAACUUAUCAUUGGUAUCUUCCAAAACUUUCAACAAAAUGAGGAACUAAUAGAAUACUAAGUUGGACCUAAUUGUAAAAGUGUAAACAUCUCAAAAUUUCAAGGAAAAAAUAAGAAUUAAACUUACUUGAAGCCAAAAUAUGGAGGAACAGCUCUAACCCCCUUUCAUGGCUGUUUCCACUGAAAUUUCAAGAAGAAAUGGUCUUGAAAUCCUUCAAAUAAAGUUUGGCCACAUAAAUUUUUUUGUAAUUCCAAUUUUGUCCUUAAAUACAUAAAAAUCUUUGAUUUUUUCAACUGUAUGCCGCCUCAGCCACUUAAAUUGGUCCAUUUACUCUUUUAGUCCUUCCUUAUUUAAUUGUUAAACCAUUUAACCACUUUAGCAAGUUUUGCAUCUUUCCAAUUUAGUCAUUUUUAAUUAAUUGACUGCCGAAAUGUUAAAAUUUUCUAACGAAACUUUAACACUACCAUAUUAACACUCCAUAAAUAUUUAUAAAAUAUUUACAGCUCGGUUUAUAACAUCAAGGUCUCGAUACCUCUUUUCCUCAAUUUCUUGACUUGAUAAAUUUUUAUAAAACACAAAUUACUAAUUUAAAAACUCUUAAAAAUCAUAUUUGGCUCGUAAUUAUUAAUAACAAAAUUUACUAGCUUAUUUUCUGAAUUUGGUGAUCUCGUACCACUGUUUUCGACAUUUCUAAAAAUCGGACUAUUACAGAUUAAUUGUAUAUAAAAAUAUUUUUAUGUAAAUUUAAUUAUAAAGUGUAUAAAAUAUUAAUAUAAAAUAAUUUUUAAAUAACGAUACAAAUUCUGAAUCCAUUCAAAUUAAACUUAAAUAUAAUUUUUUUUUUCAAAAUACACCAUAUAUUAAAGGAAUUUUAUAUAAAAAAUGGACACAUUUUGGUAAAGUACAAAAGUUACAAAUUAAGUCUUGAAAUUUUAUACAGUGUAUUUUAAACAACAAAAUGUAAAUAUUUAAAUUUAAUUCACAUCAAGUUUGUAUAAUUAUUUAAUUCAAAUCAUUUAUAUAAAAAUAUAUUUUUGUUUAAAUCAGGACCUAAUUUAUUUAUUUAUUUAUUUAUUUAAAAAUAGUGCUUUUUAUUUUUAAAUUUUUUUAAUUUUUUAUAAUUUUUAUUGAAAAUAUGAAAAGACAUUUAAUUUUAAAACUUCCUUUUUUUUUGGUAAUUGUUUAUGUAUUUUGGAAUAGUUUGAAUUAAAUUGAUAAAAAAAAUUGUAAAUCAUGAGGAUUAAAAGAAUUAUUUUAUUUUUUACAAUAACCUUAUCAUCAAUUCUAAUGAUAAAAUUGACGAAAAGACCAAUAUUUAAUUUGUUAUUAGUUCGAUUAUGCAUCAUAAAGGUUGAUUAUGAUGUAAUUUUUUAAAAAUGGAGUUUGCGCGUGUGUGUGUUUUUACUUUAUUCGCUAAAUGCAAUUUUCUUAAGGCAUUUGCUUUGUUGAUUAUUAUUUUAUGUGCUGAUUGUGAAAAAAAAAAUCAGGAGUAAAGUUAUAAUCUUAUCAUACAAAUUCCAUUCCCAUCUCUAACAUUUUAUAAAGAAAUUUAUAAUCAUGUCACGUCAUUUGCCGGGACUUCUCAUUUGAACUUUAGGUACUAGUCUAUGUGUAAACCUAACGGUCGUGCCUCACCUGUCAGCUGCACUCUGCACACUUCUCUUCACAUCCUCCCUAUUUAUCAUAUCUACCCUUAAAACUUUCAAUUUCCAACAGCGGAAAACACUCCCCGAUUUGUAUUUAGUUGUUUUUAUUAAAAUCAUAAUAAUAGUGACCCAAAUUUGAUAUUUUAACUUAUUAAUUUCAGAAAAAGCUCGAGAUUAAUACUAAUAGACAGCAUGAUGAGCUUUAACUAUGAGCCAUAGUUUGGCACAGUCAAUUCACGUUUAUAUAAAGCAUUUAUAAAUUAUAAGAAUGAUUUUUUUCUCAAUGUAUUUGCUUUUCAAUGUUAACUUUCUUCCUAAAACUAUAUAUAUAGCUGGGAUACUAUCACGGUUAUAAAGGUACUUAAAAAUAGGUUAAGUUUGGUCUAUGAUACUAACAUAUUUUAUUUUUGUUCAAGUUUGGCCCAAUUCAAAAUAUAAAUCUCAAAUUAUGUUCAAAAUUGUCAAUAUAAAUUAUUAGCAAGUUCAUUUUAAACCCAGAUGUUAUUAAAUUUUAUAUUAUUUUUAAUUUUUAAUUUAUUAAUUUUUUAUUAAGAUUUAAUUUUAUUAAUUUUAUUUUAUAUAAAUUACAUUAUAUAUAUAUAUAUUCAAAAUAGAAAACAGAUCAACUUUCAAAAAUAAAAUAAAAAAUAGGUAGCUCAUAUUUUUGCUCAAACUUAUUUUCUGAACCUCAUAUUUUUAUCCAAACUCUCCUGUAAUUUAAGUGGAUUUCGAGUUUUGAUUAAAUAGCUCAAUCCUUAAACAAGUCUAUAAAAACACCUAUCACAUUAUAAAUUAAAAUAUAUAUUGUGACAAAUAUUCAAUUAGUGAAAAGAAAAACCCAAUUUAAAUAUAAAAGCACAGAUAAUUCAACAUUUAAUUACCACUUUAACAAAUUCAACGAACAUGAGAAGUAAAAAGAAAAAAAAUUUAUACUAUUAAUAUAAGCCAUGUUUAUUUUCAUACACUUAUAAAUUCAAUAUAUAAUUUAAAUUUAAAUUUAUUUAUUUGGAGAGAUUGAUUUUGAAUAUUUAAAUAACGUAAAUGGUCAUUUGCAAUGUUUUGUUUAAAGGUUUGCACGCGGUAAAGAUUAUCUUAGUUUUCAGCUUGUUUCCGAAUUUUCAAGAGCUUGACAUUUGAUGCAGAAUCAAAUGAAAAAAAAUAUUAAAUUCUAAGUAAUUAAAAGUAAUAAAUUUUUAUAAAAAAAAUAGAAAAUUGGUGGAAACGUCUUUAAAAUAUUAAUGAAAUGAUACAGGUUGCAGAAAAGAAAUUAUUAAUGUUUGAAUAUUAAAAUCUAAGUAGAUGUAAUAGCCCGAUUUCGGGUCUCGUCGGAACAGUGGUUUCGGGACCACAAAUCCGACGAGAAAAAAUAAAAUGGCCUGAAUUUUCAGGGGUGUCAAAACGGUGAUUCGAGAUCAUUAAAACCGACAAAUGAGUAGAAAAUAUUAUUAAUUUAGUGAGUAUAAGUUAAAUGUGAAGUUAAGAAAAUUUUUGAACAAAAAGGACUAAAUUGUAACAAAUGCAAAAUUAUGGGAAAUGAUUAAAUAGCUUAAAUGAUAAAAGUAAGAGGGCUUAAAAGAUAAAUAGACCCAAUGUCUAUUUGGGCUGGACGGCAAAGGCGUGAAAUCAGCAAGAAAGUAAGGAGAAUUAAGGGCAAAAUUGGAAUAUUGCAAAUUUACUUAAUAAAGCUAGGAUCCAAGUGGAAUUAUCCAGAUUUCUCUUUAUUUUUCUCCAUUCUCAUCAUCAAAAACACCAUAGAAGGGUUUCCUUAAGCUGGUUUUUCAUAUUUUUACUGCAAGUAAGUUCAAUUCUUGAUUAUUUCUUGAACUUUUUGUGUUUUUGUGACAUUUAGAACUAGGCCCACUUGUUGAAUUCAUUAGUUUUUGAUUCUAUGAAAGAAGUUGAAAGUUGCUAUGAAUAUGUGUUGGUAGUAUAUGAUGAUUUAGCAUGUAAUUAGAGCUUUAAAUUGUUUAUAUGCUGAUUUUAUUGAAAGAAUUGAAUAGAAAGUGAAUGUUUGGGACCUAAUAGUAAAACAAGUUAGGGUUUUAUGAGGAAAUUCUGAAUUUCAAUAAUUAUGAAUAGCUUAUAAUGUGUAGGUAAAGUACUAAUUGAGAAAAAUUAGCUUAAUUGAGGGGUUAAUUGAGAAGGGACUAGAUUGUAUGAAAUGUGAAAUUUGGGGCAAACUAGAAAUCAACAUUUUACACUAAAACAGUUUUGGACGGCAGCAGUAGUUUAACUUUGAAAAAUCACCAAAAAUUAUGGGAAUCGAAUUAGAGAAUGAAUAAAAUAUUAAAUUAAAUCUUAUUGAGCCUAGUUUCUCAUAGAAGAAACGGUGUAAGUAAUAGAAUUGUAAAUUAUGAGAUAUAAUAAAUUUUGUGAGACAAGGUCAGAGUGAUUUCGGGUUCCCCUGUUCUGAAUUUGGAAAAUCAUAAAAAAUUGAAGAAAAAUAAUUAAGAGCUUAAAUUUAUAUAUUUAAAAUCCUAAAUGAGUCUAUUUUAAAGAGAAAUAAACGGAAACAUCAUCCGAAUCCCGUACAAGGAGAUAAUUAAUUUUAAGUGAAGAAGGGUCAGAACUAUCUAGCAGUGAAACAUGGGAGAUUUUAAAGAAUAAACUGUACUUAUUAGCUAAGACAAAAAUUCUGAAAAUUUAUGGUAAGAAAAUAUGUAAGUCUGGUUUCAGAUAAAAUUAACGGAUCUUAAUUUGGAGUUUCGUAACUCAAGAUAUAAAUAAUUUAGUGACUCUGACUCGGAUAGACAGAUUUGAAUUUAAUUAUAAGUAAAUAGUGAAAAUAUAGUGAAUUUACUUGUGUAUAAAUCGGUCAUAUAUUCGAUCAUAAUCGAUAAAUGUUGAAUUAGAAAUGAUGUAAUGUUUUAUUUCAAAUAGUUACUAUGAGAUUGAUGAUAAUCUGAUUUUAGCUAAAUUAAAAGCUAAAGCUAUGUUUUCAUUGCAAAAUUAAGAAUUUCAUAAAUAUGUUAAUGAAUGGCAUAAUCGAUAAACGUUGAGUUAAAUGGUAAAUAGUAUUAGUAUUGAACUUAAUGAUAUUGAAUUUUAUGAGAAGUAAAUGGAAAUUUCUAUUGCUAGUGAUAUGAUUUGAAUUAAAAGAAUUAUUGUGAUAUUGAAAUGUAUAUUGGAUUGAGAAAUUGAUUUAAAUUGUAAACAUAAGAAAUUAUGAAUUGAAUGAAAUGGAAAUGAAGCAUUGAAUUGUUAAGACUUGUGAAUUGCAUGAAUAUAAAUCGGGUCUCGUAGGCCCUAUUUAUUAUGAAUAUAAUAUUUAAAGGAUAUAUUGUGAAGAGUUAUAAAAGCAUGUCAAAAAAAUUGAAAGUUUUAAUUUUGAUGAAAUUUUAUAAUACGGUUAAAUACAUUUACAAAUGUAUGUGUUCUGGUAAUGCCUCGCACUCUAUUCCGGCGACGGAUACGGGUAAGAAGUGUUACAUUAGAAGUAAAAAGAAAAAAAUAAAACCAAUGAAAAUGAGAAAAGAAAUUAUGGUUUGAGUGAUACAGAUAAUAAUGACAUAGAAAUUUGAGAAAAUCAACGACCAGAGACCUGGGAGAUAGAAUUGGUAGCAUUAGAUGAAGAAGUGGAAGUGGAUCUGUUAUCUUGGGGAAUAAUAUCAACCCUUCUGUCAGAUUCAAUGAAGGCAGGUCGAGUGGGCUGUCUUGGCUCUAAGGAGCUCACUGUUCUAAGCAUAGUAACCACCUCUGACAUUGUAGGCCUCAAAGAAGCUGAUGAUUGAGUGCAUAAGAAUGCUAUUUCGAUCAUUCUUUGCAUUUCGUCUAUAUCAUAUUCUUCCGGAUCUAAGCUUCUGUCUACUAUUUCCAUUGCCAUAUUAUCUUGGUACAGUCCCCAUGCCUACAUGUAUAUAUAUCACCAAAAAGAAAAGAAAAAAACACACAUAGGAAUUAGCAGUAAUAUAUGUAUCAACUCAGAUUAGGAAAUUAAAGUACCCGUUUUAGAAGGAACUCAGCGGUAGGAUCAAGAGAGGUUUCGUUGUUCUUUAGGCCACUGAUGAUUUCAAGGACAACCACCCCAAAGCUAUAUGUAUCAACUUUCACUGACAAUUGCCCAUGGAUUGCAUAUUCUGGUGCUGUAUAUCCACUGUCCCAUCCAACUUAUUUCAUUAUUAACCAUAUAUAUGCAUGCUAAUUACCUAAAUUUACUACCCAAACGCCAAAAGCCUAGAAAUUUGGGAUGGGAAACUUACAAAGUGCCAGCAAAUUUGGUGCUAAGAUGAGUCUGAUCCUCAGGUAAGAGCCUGACCAAUCCAAAAUCUGCUAUCUUAGGCUGAAAAUCUCUGUCCAAAAGUAUAUUGCUAGGUUUGAUGUCCCUAUGGAUGAUACAUACAUGAAACUCCUCGUGUAAAUAGGCUAGUCCCUUUGCUGUGCCUACUAUUAUGUCAAAUCUCUGUUUCCAGUUCAGAGAUCCAUGCCCUUCACCUGUUCGACAAAAUAAAACAAACAUAAAAUUGCUUUCAAGAUCAUUAAUUUUACGACAAUCAAGAUUCAAUUUCUGACAAUUAAUUACCAAAUAAGUGCUUAUCAAGGCUGCCAUUAGGCAUGAACUCAUAGACAAGGAGAAGCUCAGGGCCUUUACUACAGCAGCCAACAAGGCGAACCAGAUUCCGAUGAUGAACAUUGCUUAUAAGCUUCACUUCUGUAUCGAAUUCUGCUUUUACCUUUUCUGAUUUGCUUAUGGCUAGUUUCUUCACUGCUACCACCCUUCCAUUCUUCAAUAUACCCUAUAUUUAUAUAUUAAAAUUCCAACCGCCCACAAAUUUAUCAAUUUUCUUUUACAAUAAUAUAAAAGUAAUUUCAUUAUUGUUGAGUAAAUUGCAAGGUUAAAAAUAUUCACCUUGUAUACUUCACCAAAACCACCUUCUCCUAAUUUAUUUUGUUGACUAAAAUUUGUCGUUGCAAAAUUCAAUUCUUUGUAAGUGUAAGUCAACGGACCUUGUAACUCAGGUGGCGCCUCUACAUCCUCUGCAAUGUUUUUUUUUUUCUUUUUAAAUGGGCACAUAAUUAUGAUUUUAUUUAUUUUAACCCACAAAUAUAGAAUUAAUAUAAUAUGUUACCUUGAGGAACUGCCAUAUUGUUUCUUGAUUUUCUAACCCAAAACAAUAAUAAAGUUAUAAGCAACAGAAGACCUCCACCUCCAACCAGUCCUCCAAUCAGAGCAUCCCUUUUAGUUGUAUUUCCUGCAUGAUUCAAUUUUUAAUAUAAAUUCAACCUGUCCUCCAAUUUGUUAACAUGGAAGGAGAAGGAGAUAUUAUUGGAUUAAUUGAUCUGUAUAUAUUUAUAUUAAAUUCAAACCCUUGGAAGGAAUAGGCGAGCCAUAGUAGAAAGGGAGGAGAGGUGCCUUAAAAGGACUUACUGGUUUUCAAGAAGGGUUUCAGGUCAAUGGUGUAGUUAGCACCAAAGAAGGGGGAGUCUGAGUAUCUUAGGAAACAUCCAGUGUCAACUGCCCGACCAUCUGAGUCAGGUGGGCAUCUUUGAAUAUUGGCUAAAGCCACUUUCAAGCAUUCCAUGCACCCUUUCUCGUCGAUGGUUUCCAUGCAUUGCGCCACGCCAUACGCUGUUACAUUGCC
Molecule: long non-coding RNA, 21283 nt
Filed under: Gossypium barbadense (sea-island cotton)
Lineage: Eukaryota; Viridiplantae; Streptophyta; Magnoliopsida; Malvales; Malvaceae
Description: long non-coding RNA (GBAR_LNC016021)
Source: RNAcentral